RNAcentral lists this long non-coding RNA (6061 nucleotides) under Lathyrus oleraceus (garden pea). RNAcentral describes it as "Pisum sativum (pea) long non-coding RNA (PSAT_LNC021900)". Lineage: Eukaryota; Viridiplantae; Streptophyta; Magnoliopsida; Fabales; Fabaceae. The record is from RNAcentral.
UUUUUUUUUUCUGUAUUAACACGAUUAAAAGACAAAAUGAAUUAAAUAAUAAAAGAGUAAUUAAAUUUGGCAUCAUGUGUGUAUGAUUUGGAUGAUUGAUGUUGACUAUGCUUCGGAAUCUGAUGUUAGUAUGGUGAAGCAGCGAUACAUCGAUCGUCCAUGGAUAACACAAAUGAGUUCGAUCAAUUUAUAUAUAUGAUAUAAGAUAAUCUGAUGCAAAAUAUGGUAUAUAUGAUAUACUAUUUCUAUUUCGUUCAUUCAAACACUUAAUUAUUUUUAUUCUUUUAAGCGAUCAAUAGCCAAUUGCUUCGGAAUCCGACAUUAGUAUGGUGAAGCAAUGGCGUGUUGAUCAAUCAUACUGAAUUAUCAAUCAAGGUGUGUUUGACGAUAUGGAAUUGUUGCAUUAGGGUUCAUGAUGGUACAAGGGUUAUGCUGUCAAAGAGUUAUGCGAUUAGGGUUGUGACUGCAUAAGAGUUGUGCUUUAAAGUAUCAUGUGUUGACCGAGAAGAAGAACCCCCGACUAACUCUGGGUAGUAUGAUCAAUCACCAAAAUUUAAUUUGGUUUAUAUAAUUAAUAGAAUUUAAAUUAAUAAUAAUAAUGUGUUUAUUAUUAUUGUCUUGUGGUGAUCAGUUAUGGCCUUAGUUUUCCUUUAUUUUGUUUUUGGGAUUUUAAAAUACAACCCGCGUGUCGUGCCUCUAUUUUAAUCUCUUAAUGUAACUUAUUUUCUCAUCUCACUCCCUCGUAUGUAAAACGAGUUUCUUUUAUGUAAUAUAAUGUUAUGAAAAAAGAGAAUAAUAUAAUAUCAAAUUGGGAUAACCUUGAAGAUCUUGCUUGGAGAAGCUAAGAUUGUUAUUAGGUUAUAUUAGGUUCUCUCAUUGGCUUGGGAGAACAAUUGCGAUAUGGGCCAUAACAGUUUCAUUUUGUAUGUAUAUUGAUGCAUCUGAGAGACGAUUUAUAUGAUAAAUAAGCCGGAGAGAUCAAAAUAAUUGCAAAUUCCCUCAUAUUAAAUAUUAAGUUUAUGCUUUCCAAUUUUUAGCACUCAUCAAGACUAGUAUCGAAUAAUGUAGGUUUCGCCUACGUGAGGUACAUGUUCUGUAUUAGUAUGGUGUGAUGGGAUGAUUGUAAUAAUCCAACAUUGCCUAAAACAAUGGGUCAAACUUAACUAAAAAAUUAUAAUAAGAUUAUAUAUGUUUAGAAGCAAGAGUUGGAAUUGAAUAAGGAGUUACUCACCCAACUAAAAUAUUCGAGAGUUGUAUUAGAUACAAUUGGAAGGAGUUCCUACCUAAAUAACCUAGUUUUGUGUAAUCCUCCUACGCGAACUUAAAACAAAGUGAAAUUUGGAUCUCGACCCAAUAGAAAAUCUUCCAACGGGAUUUUCCGAAUCAAUGGUGAUGGUCAUUUGUUUUGAGUAAAAUAGUGGAAGCAUAUUUAAUUAAAGGCCUAAUUAAAUAUGUUAUUUUAAUGAUACUUAUAUUUUCAUAUUUUUCAUGUAGAUUACCAUGACAACAAACACCUCUAACAACAUUUUACGAUCAAUCCUUGAUAAGGAAAAAUUGUCUGGGACAAAUUUUCUGGAUUGGCACCGAAAUCCGAGGAUUAUUCUUAAGCAUGAUAAAAAGUUGUAUGUCUUGGAGAAACCUAUUCCUGAAGAGGAACCUCCUAGUUCUGCACCUAAGGCAGAGAUAUAUGCUUAUAAGAAGCAUGUCAAUGAUAACAAUGAAGUUGCUUUCCUCAUGCUAGCUACCAUGAACUCGGAGUUGUAAAUGCAACAUGAGAACAUGGGAGCGUUCGAUAUGAUCAUACACCUGAAGAUGCUCUAUCAAGAGCAGGAAAGGCAUGAGUUGUUUGAAGUUUCAAAGCCUUUUUUCAAUGCAUGUUAGCUGAGGGAGCCAAUGUAGGUCCACAUGUCCUCCAGAUGAUUGGGUAUAGUAAGACCCCGAUUUUGAUCCUAAGAUUCCUCAUGCAAUUUCAUCAUAAGCAUUAGCAUUGGGUUCAUACCUUGGCAUCCUCCGUACCCCUCUUUCAUUGGGUUUGUUUUGGGAGAGAUAACGAAACACCAUGUAAUUGUAUCAUACUUGUAUAUUAUUUUACUAACCAAAAUACCAAAAAUAUGUCUUUGCAUUUGCCUAAUUCUUUUGUAGGUAGGGCAUGAUCACCAUUGAUCUAUCAAGUUCAUAUCUAGGGUUUGAGACCCUCAUGACAAGGAGCGCAACAAUGGAUUGAUCCAAGAAUGGUUAUAAGCAUCAUAUAUGAGUCCCCAUGAUUCCUACAUGUUAUACUGAUCAAGUAUUCUUCAAGAGUUUGAGGGUGAUUUGCCUUGGAAACCCCAGUUUAACUAGGUAUCUUGAGUAACUUCUCCUACAAGCUAUCUCAUCAAUUUAUCAAAAUUAUCAAGGGACACUUAAAAUUUCAUCAUAUUAUGCAUAUAUGAUUUACCAUGAGCCAAGAAAGUCCAAAGAAUUGAAGGUUAUCAAGUUGGCUGAUGGUGGUUGGCCAGAUGAAUUCAUCUGAUCAAAACUGGGUCUCCCUAGACCCUAACUCCUACAAUUUUCACCAUAUGAAAAUUAUUCUCAGAGCAAAGUUACUCUAAAUGACAUUCCAAACAACUUUCAAGUUGAGAUCUAGAGCUAGUUUUGCUUGGAAAAUCAUUUUCUAUGUUGAAACAUUAUAGGUCAUUUUGUCUAAACCCUAAUUUGAAAGUCAACUUCCCAUGGCCAUAACUUGCUCAAUUUUUAUGAUAUGAAAUAUUUACAAGUUGCACAAUCAAAUUAAAGAUGUCUAAUUCAACUUUGAUAUUUGGUGUAAGAUCUAAUUCAACUUUUAUGAGCAUGUGAUAUGAGGUUACAUUAUAGGUCUUUUUUUAUCUAUACCAUUGAACAAGUGAUUUUUCCAAACUUCAAAAAUGCAUAACUCUAUCAUUCUAGUUCCAAAUGAAAUGAAAUUUGUGACCACUUUGAAGAUCUUUGAUAGAGCUACAACUUUGAUGAAGACACUUUUCUCAUCUGAAGCUCACGUAAAAAGUUAAGCAAGAUGGAAUAUUGAGAUAUAUGACUUAACACAGAAAUUUUUUCAACAUGUUGAAAUUUCCAAACUUCCUCCUCAAAAUUCACCAUGUUCUUAACUCCAAAUGGAAAAGUGUUCAACAUGAAACUUGUUCCCCUUGAUCCAAUCUUUCCAAAGUCCCCAAGUUCAUUCAUUUUGGAUGAAGUUUUCUAGGUUUGCGCAUGGCUUUAACAGGGCUACAUCAUGGGAAAGAAUCAAAUGUACAAGCUUAACUUCACAUUGCCUUUCCAUUCAAGCUUCAUUCAGACUUCAACAUGAUUGAUUUUGGACCUUUAUGCAUUGCAUCAUGGGCCUGUACAUGCACAUGCACUCGUGCCAUUCACAUUGCCAAAUUUGGACAAAUUAUGGACUUCUGUGAUUCAAAUCAAACUUUCAAAAGUAAAAUGUGAUUAUCAUUAAUAUGUUUUAUUCAACUCAAGAACUUCUAUGAUUAAAAUCAUAUUCACUAGAGAAAAUCCCGACUUUUCCACAUAACUUGAUUCAAAUCAUGUCAUCCCAUGAUUUGAAUCACGCUUCAAGAUUUUAGUUUUUUUUUAUAAUCAAAUGGAGCGUUAUACUGAAUCAGAAUAUGACAUGACUUAAAUCAUUCUCAAACGUUCUUCUUAAUUUAAAACUUUGACUAUUUGACUAGGAGUGUAUUGUUAGGACCAUAAUCAAACAAUUUGAUUUAUGUAUAAGUUAAAAUAGAUUGAAAACUAAACUUUAAAGCCCACAAUACAGUGAGGAGAGUCAAAUACGAUAAAAUAAACCAAAAACUAGAUAGCAAAGCAACAAAACAUAAACGCGUAAAUCCUAUGACGUAGAGGAAACUUCAACAUCCAUGUUUUAUUUACUUAAAUCAAACAUUUUUAACAAGCAUGCAUUUAAGAAAAUAAUUUUAACAUUUACAAGAGAAGAGAUUACAUUAAGGAACCAACUUUGAAUCAUUUUUCUAUUCUUACAAUUCAUCCCAGAUAAUGGUUUUCUACUUCAUGCAUUUACUUUAAUUAUAAUUGUUUUCAUUGUAUUAUAUUUAAAUUUCAACACUUUGUAUCCAAGUUAAAUCGUUGUGGUAUUCUCAUUCUAAUUUGUUAUUGAGGGUUUCAAGUGGAUCAGUGAUAUUUCAUGGGGAUUGAUGAGUUAACAAUAUAUUUCUUACUUUAUAAAUGGAUGGAAAAGAUUCAUUACUUAUAAAAAAAAUUAAAUAAAAGGCGAUAAAAUAGAUUUUCCCUCGGUUGACAGCUCACCCAAGAGAAUAUGUCAUAAAUAAAACAUUAAAAAAAAUAAAAUUCGCUAAAAUGCAGUUGCUAGAAUUUAAAGGGGAAUUGAUCCAAAAAUCUUCAACUCGGUUAACAGCUCAACCGAGGGUAUAAGUUAUCAAUACAAUAUUAUAAAUAAAUAAAGUGUGAUAAAAUAUAGUUAUUGAGAUUCGAAGGAAGGUUGAUCAAAAUUGUUUCGCUCAGUUGCCAGCUCAAUCGACUAAAUAGGCAGUACUUUAUAAAAAUAUGUAGGAAUGUAGGUUCGAACAUGUGAUAUCUCAUUUGUUUAUCUUUAAAAGUUGAAUUCCACCGAGACAAAUGAUAAAAUAUGGGCGUUUUUAAAAAAUUUAAUCGUACAAAUUUAUCAAAAUUAUUAUGUUUUUAUAUAAAUAUUUUUUUGGAUUUGUUUAAUAAAAUCCUUUUAAAACUAAUUCAAAGGUGAAACCUGAUUAAUUUUUGAGUAAAAUAAUUUUUUAAUAAUAAAAAAGGAGAAGAAAUAUUAUGUUAUAUAAAAUUUAUAAAAAUAUUGAAGUGGCACAAUAUUUUUUUUAAUAUUUUAUAAAUUAUAAAACUAUUUCUUUAAUGAUUAUAGUUGUUCAAACUUUUAAUAUGUAAAAAGUACCUAUUGUUUUUUCUUUCUAUAUAAAUAUACAUUAUAUACUAAUUUGGUGUACUUAAGGAAACUCUCUAUCCACCACAUUCAUAUAUAGGGAAACUCUUUCGUACAUAUCUUGACAAAUUAGAUGCUAACUGUGGAGGAUAUCUUCAAACACUAUUAAAAUAUUGUUUAUUCGAACAUAAUCAUAUUCUUUUUUCUUUUUAUUGUAUUUUUUCUUUAUUUCUCUCAUGUACGAAUAUCAUAAGAUGUGACACUAUUUAAUUCAAUAAAAGACUAAAAUAAAAGGUAACCCAAAAUAAAAUGAUAUUUUAAAAUAAUAAGAUUCAAGUUAAAACGAUAAUUAAAAUUUAUAUAUUAAAUAUAUUUAAUUAUAACAUAAAUUCAUUAUGAUAUGGAAACUUGGAAGCCAAAAUUAAAAGAAAAUGAAAAGAUUAUAAUUAUAUUUCCGCCUUUUUUGCAUUAUUUUCAAAAAUUUAAAGANCAAAAUUAAAAGAAAAUGAAAAGAUUAUAAUUAUAUUUCCGCCUUUUUUGCAUUAUUUUCAAAAAUUUAAAGAACAAAGACAUAGUUUCAAGAUACAUGAAAUUACAACACGAUAUAAAUAUAUAAAGUUUAUAAAAUUACAAUUAUUCAUCAUAAGCUAUAUUAUUUAUAUUUUUUGAUAUUUCAAAAAAUAUUAUUUAGGAUAAGUUAUGAGAAUGGACUUAAAAAUGAUUUAACAUGUCCUCUCAUGAACCUCUACAAACUUUGUGCAUAUUUUGUUAACGCACUUAAAAAUUAUUCUCUGAUUGUUAGCACUCAUCAUUGAGAAUGGACAAUUUUCAUCAGUUUGACAUGGUUGCCCCCCUUAGUGAAAAAUAGAAUAAAAAAUGUUAGUGAAACAUGAAGAAAGAUAUUGUAAGAAUUAUAACAUAAAAUAAAAACUAAUUAAAAAGCAAAAAUGAUUUACCGUUAUGCCCGGAUGAAAGAAUAUGUCCGGAUGAAAGAAGGAAUAGGGAAAAAAAUAAAAUUAUAGCAUAAAUAAAUUUGACAACUUUUGUCAUUUUUUCUCUCUUUCUCGUUAGAAGUAAAAAGAGAGUUGAGCAAUUUAUAGUGUAUAAAUCCAAUGUAAUGUUUAAAACAAUUAAAUAUUUUAAGCCCUA